AGACCCGAAACCCGGUGAUCUAGCCAUGGGCAGGUUGAAGGUUGGGUAACACUAACUGGAGGACCGAACCGACUAAUGUUGAAAAAUUAGCGGAUGACCUGUGGCUGGGGGUGAAAGGCCAAUCAAACCGGGAGAUAGCUGGUUCUCCCCGAAAGCUAUUUAGGUAGCGCCUCGUGAAUUCAUCUCCGGGGGUAGAGCACUGUUUCGGCCAGGGGGCCAUCCCGGCUUACCAACCCGAUGCAAACUGCGAAUACCGGAGAAUGUUAUCACGGGAGACACACGGCGGGUGCUAACGUCCGUCGUGAAGAGGGAAACAACCCAGACCGCCAGCUAAGGUCCCAAAGUCAUGGUUAAGUGGGAAACGAUGUGGGAAGGCCCAGACAGCCAGGAUGUUGGCUUAGAAGCAGCCAUCAUUUAAAGAAAGCGUAAUAGCUCACUGGUCGAGUCGGCCUGCGCGGAAGAUGUAACGGGGCUAAACCAUGCACCGAAGCUGCGGCAGCGAACGUAUCACUUAAAGCGAUUCAGCGGAUGACGAUUGACGGAGCGAAGCGACGUCAAAGCGUUUUACAACGUCGAGUCGGUUUAAGGAUACGUUCGUUGGGUAGGGGAGCGUUCUGUAAGCCUGCGAAGGUGGCCUGUGAGGGUUGCUGGAGGUAUCAGAAGUGCGA
RNAcentral lists this ribosomal RNA (668 nucleotides) under Salmonella enterica subsp. arizonae. RNAcentral's name for it is "partial 23S ribosomal RNA". It matches the Rfam family "Bacterial large subunit ribosomal RNA", at positions 711 to 1293 of the family's 2925-position model. The record is from RNAcentral. Lineage: Bacteria; Pseudomonadati; Pseudomonadota; Gammaproteobacteria; Enterobacterales; Enterobacteriaceae.